This 74-nucleotide transfer RNA is filed under the name Mycobacterium botniense. RNAcentral's name for it is "tRNA-Arg". It matches the Rfam family "tRNA". From Rfam's summary of the family: Transfer RNA (tRNA) molecules are approximately 80 nucleotides in length. Their secondary structure includes four short double-helical elements and three loops (D, anti-codon, and T loops). The record is from RNAcentral. Lineage: Bacteria; Bacillati; Actinomycetota; Actinomycetes; Mycobacteriales; Mycobacteriaceae.
GCGCCCGUAGCUCAACGGAUAGAGCAUCUGACUACGGAUCAGAAGGUUGGGGGUUCGAUUCCCUUCGGGCGCGC